This 483-nucleotide ribosomal RNA is filed under the name uncultured bacterium. Its description in RNAcentral is "bacterial SSU rRNA". It matches the Rfam family "Bacterial small subunit ribosomal RNA", at positions 26 to 518 of the family's 1533-position model. The record is from RNAcentral.
AGGAUUAACGCUGGCGGCGUGCCUAAUACAUGCAAGUCGAAUGGUAGCAAUACCAUGGCGAACGGGUGAGUAACACGUAGGUAACCCUGUCUUUAAGCCGAGGAUAACCAUUGGAAACGAUGGAUAAUACUGGAUAGGACAUUUGAAGGCAUCUUUAGAUGUUUAAAGAUUUAUUACUUAGAGAGGGGCCUGCGGCGCAUUAGCUAGUUGGUGAGGUGAAGGCUUACCAAGGCGAUGAUGCGUAGCCGGACUGAGAGGUUGAACGGCCACAAUGGAACUGAGAACGGUCCAUACUCCUACGGGAGGCAGCAGUAGGGAAUUUUCGGCAAUGGGGGAAACCCUGACCGAGCAAUGCCGCGUGAAUGAAGAAAUUCUUCGGAAUGUAAAAUUCUGUUAUUAGGGACGAAAGGUAUAUAAAGGAAAUGGUAUAUAAUUGACGGUACCUAAUUAGAAAGCCCCGGCUAACCAUGUGCCAGCAGCGGC